AUUGAACGCUGGCGGCAGGCCUAACACAUGCAAGUCGAGCGGAUGAAGGGAGCUUGCUCCUGGAUUCAGCGGCGGACGGGUGAGUAAUGCCUAGGAAUCUGCCUGGUAGUGGGGGAUAACGUCCGGAAACGGACGCUAAUACCGCAUACGUCCUGAGGGAGAAAGUGGGGGAUCUUCGGACCUCACGCUAUCAGAUGAGCCUAGGUCGGAUUAGCUAGUUGGUGGGGUAAAGGCCUACCAAGGCGACGAUCCGUAACUGGUCUGAGAGGAUGAUCAGUCACACUGGAACUGAGACACGGUCCAGACUCCUACGGGAGGCAGCAGUGGGGAAUAUUGGACAAUGGGCGAAAGCCUGAUCCAGCCAUGCCGCGUGUGUGAAGAAGGUCUUCGGAGUGUAAAGCACUUUAAGUUGGGAGGAAGGGCAGUAAGUUAAUACCUUGCUGUUUUGACGUUACCAACAGAAUAAGCACCGGCUAACUUCGUG
Molecule: ribosomal RNA, 484 nt
Filed under: uncultured bacterium
Lineage: Bacteria
Description: partial 16S ribosomal RNA
Rfam family: Bacterial small subunit ribosomal RNA
Source: RNAcentral